This 244-nucleotide unclassified non-coding RNA is filed under the name uncultured Sordariales. Its description in RNAcentral is "sequence contains ITS2". The record is from RNAcentral. Lineage: Eukaryota; Fungi; Ascomycota; Sordariomycetes; Sordariales.
AACGCACAUUGCGCCCGCUAGUAUUCUGGCGGGCAUGCCUGUUCGAGCGUCAUUUCAACCAUCAAGCCCCAGGCUUGCGUUGGAGCCCUGCGGCUGCCGCAGGCUCCCAAAUACAGUGGCGGGCUCGUCGUCGUACCGAGUGCAGUAAACAUCCUCGCUCAGGGAACGCGUCGGGUUCUUGCCGUGAAACCCCCCCUAUAUUAAGGUUGACCUCGGAUCAGGUAGGAAUACCCGCUGAACUUAA